CCAAUAGCGUAUAUUAAAGUUGUUGCAGUUAAAAAGCUCGUAGUUGAAUUUCGGGCUCAAUAUAUCGGUCGUGCCAUCGGUACGUACUGGUAUCAUUGGUUUCUCCUUUCUGACGAACCAUGAUGUCAUUAAUUUGGUGUCAUGGGAAGUUAGGACUGUUACUUUGAAAAAAUUAGAGUGUUUAAAGCAGGCUUUAGCUUGAAUACAUUAGCAUGGAAUAAUGAAAUAGGACGUUCGAACCUAUUUUGUUGGUUUCUAGGAUCAACGUAAUGAUUAAUAGGGAUAGUUGGGGGCAUUAGUAUUCAAUUGUCAGAGGUGAAAUUAUUGGAUUUAUUGAAGACUAACUACUGCGAAAGCAGUUGCCAAGGAUGUUUUCAUUAAUCAAGAACGAAAGUUAGGGGAUCGAAGACGAUCAGAUACCGUCGUAGUCUUAACCAUAAACUAUGCCGACUAGGGAUCGGAUGAUGUUAAUUUUUUAAUGACUCAUUCGGCGCCUUACG
RNAcentral lists this ribosomal RNA (500 nucleotides) under uncultured Glomeromycotina. RNAcentral describes it as "partial small subunit ribosomal RNA". It matches the Rfam family "Eukaryotic small subunit ribosomal RNA", at positions 591 to 1092 of the family's 1831-position model. The record is from RNAcentral. Lineage: Eukaryota; Fungi; Glomeromycota.